RNAcentral lists this long non-coding RNA (206 nucleotides) under Panax ginseng (ginseng). RNAcentral's name for it is "long non-coding RNA (PGIN_LNC006126)". Lineage: Eukaryota; Viridiplantae; Streptophyta; Magnoliopsida; Apiales; Araliaceae. The record is from RNAcentral.
GGAACGAUGACGGUAUCUGAGUAUGCCGCAAAAUUCAACGAAUUGGCGAGGUUUGCGCUAUAUCAGGUCAGCACAGACGAGCGUAAGGCGAAGAGAUUUGAACAGGGACUGAAACCCUGGCUGUACAGUAGGGUUUUCCUGUUCCAAUUCAAGAGGUUUGCAGCAGUGAUGGAGAAGGCAGUACUCGCUGAAGGUGGAGGCAAGGC